This is a long non-coding RNA of Clupea harengus (Atlantic herring), 399 nucleotides long. The record is from Ensembl. Lineage: Eukaryota; Metazoa; Chordata; Actinopteri; Clupeiformes; Clupeidae.
AACACGUUUAGAUAGGUGAGUGUACAGAUUAACACGUUUAGAUAGGUGAGUGCACAGAUUAACACGUUUAGAUAGGUGAGUGUACAGAUUAACACGUUUAGAUAGGUGAGUGUACAGAUUAACACGUUUAGAUAGGUGAGUGUACAGAUUAACACGUUUAGAUAGGUGAGUGUACAGAUUAACACGUUUAGAUAGGUGAGUGUACAGAUUAGCACGUUUAGAUAGGUGAGUGUACAGAUUAACACGUUUAGAUAGGUGAGUGUACAGAUUAGCACGUUUAGAUAGGUGAGUGUACAGAUUAACACGUUUAGAUAGGUGAGUGUACAGAUUAACACGUUUAGAUAGGUGAGUGUACAGAUUAACACGUUUAGAUAGGUGAGUGUACAGAUUAGCACGUUU